Molecule: ribosomal RNA, 458 nt
Filed under: uncultured bacterium
Lineage: Bacteria
Description: partial 16S ribosomal RNA
Rfam family: Bacterial small subunit ribosomal RNA
Source: RNAcentral
CCUACGGGAGGCAGCAGUGAGGAAUAUUGGUCAAUGGGCGAGAGCCUGAACCAGCCAAGUCGCGUGAGGGAGUACUGCCCUAUGGGUUGUAAACCUCUUUUGUCGGGGAGCAAAAGCCGGACGUGUCCGGCUGUGAGAGUACCCGAAGAAAAAGCAUCGGCUAACUCCGUGCCAGCAGCCGCGGUAAUACGGAGGAUGCGAGCGUUAUCCGGAUUUAUUGGGUUUAAAGGGUGCGCAGGCGGAUUUUUAAGUCAGCGGUCAAAUCGUGGGGCUCAACCCCAUCCAGCCGUUGAAACUGGGGAUCUAGAGUGUGCGAGAGGUAUGCGGAAUGCGUGGUGUAGCGGUGAAAUGCAUAGAUAUCACACAGAACACCGAUUGCGAAGGCAUCUGACGAAUCGGAGAUUGACGCUGAUGCACGAAAGCGUGUGUAUCGAACAGGAUUAGAUACCCGAGUAGUC